UGGCGAGUUCGUGAGAGGUCUAGGUCGUCGUCUCCCAGUCAACUUUGGGUUGCUGGACCGUUGUCUCCUUAUAAUGUAAUUAUUUAUUUAUUUUGUACAGAACUCCUGUUAUGUAGUAAAGAUGUGACAUUCGAUCCUGUGCCAUGAUUCAUCAUAUGUGUGAGACUUGGUCCCAGCACACCUGGUGAUUAUGUUCGCGCCCGGGUUUUGGACCCUAAAAUCCGGGUGUGACACCUAUGCAGCCACGCCAUGAGCUAGAGCAUGCCCCCGACCACGUGUUGCCACCCGAGUAUCCGAUUGAGUGUCACACAAGGAUACCCGAUUAGAAUAUCGGGCCGAGCUAUGAUAGCCCAAGUCAUCAGCCCCACAUGCACCAUUCCUUACCAUUAACGACCUCAGAUGGCUAUGCAUAUGUACUGGGUAACUUAACAAGGCUAUCGAUUUCAUCAACUUAAACUCAUCAUACCAAGGAUCUCCCACAAAACAUGUAUAUUACAGUAAUCCCAUUCGAUACACACAUACUUCGGAGAUAGAGCGGAAGACUUUACAAACAUUCUUCACAUUUCCAAAGCUCAAGUUUUAUUACAUAGAAAGAAUUAUUACAAGUCCUGAUAGAACUUGAAAUGCAUAACUUAAUUACAAAACCAGGAAGGCAGAACCCUUCCAAGGCUCACAAACACACCUAACUAAUCAUCCUUCAAAACUAGAAGCAUCUUCUAGCCACAGGGACACCAAGAAUACUCCUGAUCACCUGCAACAUCAUGGGUUCGGAAACCCUGAGUACGGAGUGUACUUUCGCAAGUCUUACCUGACUAAGGAAAAAGACUCUCAAGGAUAUGCUGGAUUUGGGAAUCAAGGAAAGGCUUUUAGCAAGAAUCAACUUUAAUAGUUUGCAGAAAAGCUUACUAAAAGGAGUCCUUACUUUCAACAUUUUAAUGCUAGAUUGAGUAUUAAUAGACCUUGUUUGUAUCUAGUCUAAUCUCAUCAUCUCAUCAACACAACAUUAUUUUUACUCAUUGUGAUUCCAUCCAUGACUUAGAUUGCAGGGCAGUGAUCAAGUCUCUAUUGUUUGAGGAUAUAAUGGUGAUUUGAAUCGAUUUACCCAGCUAGGGACCUCUAACCACACGACAUAUGUAACACUUAACCCUUGUAUACGCCAACCUGCACCUGUGUUUCUCAAGACUAGAAUGGGUUCCCGCUACCCGAGAGCAUAGUUACUCCACCGUCCGGCCUCUUGCCACGGAGGGUAGACACUACUCUCACCAUCUCCCAUGCCCAGUGCGGGCGAGCUGUUCUGAUAUUGGUCCAGCGGAGAUUAGGCUUACCCUGUCCCAUACCAGGGCAGGUGGCCAGUUAAUAUAUGCCUCGAUCAGCAAGCCUACAUUCCCUGUAUUCUUUAAUCAACUUGGGCAAAACAUCACCUGUUCCUAGCCCAAGUCUCGAUUUAAGUACUUUCAUCCUUCGGACUUAUUUGUGUACCUUAGGAUGAUGAAAACAUCACAUGGAACCUUGUAUUACAUCUCCCCAUGAUCUAGGUGAAAAUAUUCUUGUAGGUAGAGCCAUCCUUCCUCAGGAUAAAUCCUGAGCUAGGCAUUAGUGCAAAGGACAAACUCUAUCUACAAGAUUUACCUCUAGACAGGGCUAAGCAAUUUUGUAAACAAUAUUUGAUACUUCUAAAGAAGUAUUUAUAAAAGGAAUGGAUAUCAAGGUAGUCUAUGCAUCAAAUAGUUUCCAAGAAACUCCUAUAAACUUAGUGCACAUUUCACUAGACUUAAAGUGUAUAAAAGUAUUUUAAAAAUACAAGGAAUGGGCAAAUUCACCGGGCUUGCCUUAUUGCAGUGAAGAGGUUCUAGAUCCCUUUAUCAAAUACCCAGUUAGAUGGCUCCUCCACUUGAUUAGCAUACACUGGAGUAGACUCCUCCUUCCAACACAACUUCUUCUAGGUGUUUUAAAAGUCAAUUACAAAUAAAUGAAUGCUUAUGUAAUGAUAUGAAAUACAAACUCUCACAAGGAGAGGUGGAGAACAUAAACACCACAAAAUAAAAUACAUGACAAGUAUACACAUACUUCUACCUAACUUAACACUUGAUAAAAGUGACCAAAUUGAAUUUACUUAGGCAAACUAGAGAACUAAUCCAUCUUAGAUCUCAUCCAAAAGCUUACAACUCUUUAAGCAACUUCAUUACUUCAUGGUGUGUUUGGUUUAUGGAGUCACUCUAUGCUUCAUGAGGUGAUGCAUCAUAAGUUCAUUCUAUCAAUUUUGGUGGAAUCAACCCACUCCUCAUGUAUAUACUAAUUAUUACUCCCUCCGUUUCUUUUUAUUAGUCGCUGGAUAGUGCAAUUUUGCACUAUCCAGCGACUAAUAAAAAGAAACGGAGGGAGUAGCUUAUAAGUAAUGGGGUGGUGAUAGAUCAAUAUAUUCUAUUCCACAAACCAAAUAAAAAGUGAGGAGUGAGAAGAAGAUUGAUCACUUCAUUCCUUAAACCAAACACACUAUUACUAAACUACUAGGUGUCCUCAUUUCAUAGGUGAAAUCCUUUUCUUUUUGAGAAAUAAUUAGUUUACUAAGCCAAGCAUAUCCAAAUAGUUCCAAAAUUUUCCCAAAGGUUCACAUUCGGAUAACCAGACUCUCCAAGAAUUUCCAUAAUUUUUGGUGUUAUAUUCUUGUUUCCAAAAUUCAAAUAGGCCUUCCAAAAGCACCUUUUCAUCCAUCGAAAUUUUCUAACUGCCCUAAAAAUCCUACAAAUAUUUUUAUCAGGAAUAUCUUGAUUUUAGACACUUAACAAAAUUGGUCUCACUAUUUUAUCAUGUUUCUAGAAGUUUUGGCAUCAUUUCCAAGUUUCUAGAUAAAAGAAAAAGGAAAAACAGGCACAGUUCUGGGCUCAAACUGUUUGUGCGGCUCAGCGAACAGGCAGAGCUGGCCUGCGGUCGACGGCCCGUGCGCUCGCUCCUGUACUUUUGCACUAAAGCCCCCAUCCUCUGACCGAAUGAAUUCGGGCUCUGGCCACUAUUUGUUUGUGUCACUGCCAAUUGCACAGACACCCCUCAGCUUCGGUUCAUUCCCAGAUUCUCAGCCACGACGCUCCCGCCCUACUCCGGCGAAAUACGACCACGGCCACGGCGGCGCUGACUUCUGGCACCCUCAGACCGUCACUAGAACGUGUUCCUGACCCACGUGAACUAAUCCCAAGGCUCCAACUCCCGAGCCGAGCACCAAUCCUCACCAGCGACGGCACCGGUGAGGUUCUCGGUCCGGUGAGCUCGUUUCUCGGGCAUCAAUACAGUAGAGUUCAAUCAAAUGUCGUGGGGAGCAUCAAUGAUAUACCUAAACUUCGGUGCUCGCGAGGAAUCGGCCGGAGAAAGCGUGAGUCACCCGGUCGGCGGUGAAGCUGUCUGUGGCGCCCAUCUGCGGCGGCACAACCCUGUUCCGAUCACCUGACAAUGGUAGAGUUCAAAAGCUGAUUUGCGUCAAUGCGUGAGCUUCACUGACCACUAGAGACCACAUAACAAGUGUCGCCUGGGCAUGCAACCCUGGCCAAGGUGAGAUGAGCAUUCGGGUGGACUUGGUCACCACACUGGUGAUGGUGUGCCAGGCUCUGGAGCAACUCGAUCUUGGGACAGAGAAGAGGGUUACAUCAGCAGUAGCACAAGGAAUCCAUACUCCUUUAGCUAGAACUUGAGGGUAGACAGGAGGUUUCACUGAAUCAAGUUUGCAG
This 3716-nucleotide long non-coding RNA is filed under the name Zea mays. Its description in RNAcentral is "long non-coding RNA (ZMAY_LNC003289)". Lineage: Eukaryota; Viridiplantae; Streptophyta; Magnoliopsida; Poales; Poaceae. The record is from RNAcentral.